CUAUGAAGGUGGAAGUGAAAAACAAAGUUCGUCUUGUAAGAUCGAUGACGUUGAGCUGUGUUACAUUCUGUAUUGAAACAGUAACAGAGCGACCAUACUUAAGGUUCACGAGGAAUAUGUUCCCAUAUGCAUGGAGAUUGAUCUGCAUGGAUUAUCAGUCCCUUAAUGAUGGAACACCUGAUGUGAGGAAUGCAGCUUUCUCAGCUUUGGCGGCUAUUUCCAAGAUGGUUGGCAUGAGACCUUUGGAAAAGUCUCCAGAAAAAUCUGGAUGAUGUCAGACAAAAGAAGUAUCUGAAAUGAUUGGGGGUCGACGGGGGAUCCUUAUGCUCUUCCAAACUCAGGUGUUGUUCAACCUUCUAGAGCAGUUUUGACUACGAGUUUCCUCUGAACUAGUAGAAUGGAUAUGAAGCAAACCACUUGCGGAUCUUUGCUGCAGCAACUGCAGAAAUGAAUCUUUUUUCCUGCAGCAAAUUUGGGAUAAAGUUUGUGAAAAUUACGAAGAGCGGGACAAAAUUCUUCUUCAAUUGGAUCAGGAGUGCUUGGAUGUGUACAAGAGAAAAGUUGACCUGACAUUGAAAUCUAGAGCCCACCUUCUUCAGACACUGGCAGAUGCUAGAGUUGAACUCACCAAUCUAUUAUCAGCUUUUGGAGAAAAGAAUUAUGUCGGAAUUCCUGACAAGACGUCAGGAACGAACAAGGAACAGCUUCAAGGUAUAGCUCCUGCUUUGGAUAAACUAUGGAAACAAAAGGAUGGGAAGAUAAAAGAGUAUUCUGAUGUUCAAUCUCAAAUACAGAACAUAUAUGCGGAGAUUGCUGGAACUAGUGUCCAGGUUGAGAAUAUCACAGUUGAUGAGGCCAAUCUAUCCAUGAAAAAAUUAGAUAGAGUUUAAUGCCCAGCUUCAAGAUCUUCAAAAGGAAAAGGCCUUUCUUGGUUUUUUAAAUUGACAGGCUGCACAAGGUUAUUGACUUGUCAGCACAGUUCACGAUCUUUGUGCUGUCCUCGCCACGGACUUCUUUACUACUGUCACAGAAGUGCAACUAAGCCUGAAUGACGCCACUGGUGUUCACUCAAAAAGCAUCUUUUUGCUGUCCUUGCUCCUAGUGAUUUUUCAGAACUUUGUCGAACAUUAAAGAAGGUUAUCACCGAUGUAAACAUUACUGUGGGAAAAUGAAGAAAAAAAAGGAAAAAAAAGAAAAAAAGGAAAAAAAAAGAAAUUAAAAAGGAAAAAAAAGGGGCAUCCUUGGUAGGGAUCCGAGAACCCUUCAUAAAAGCAAGGAAAAAAAAGGAAAAAAAAAAGAAAAAAAAACAUUGCUGUUGCAGUUGAAGCUAUUCAAGCAUUGGGCAACUUUGCUAUGGAUCUGAGAACCCAUUUUUCGGCAAGAUGUCGCUUCUUAUUGCCUCUACUAUUGGAGAAAUUGUAGGAGAAGAAACCUACUUCAACGGAGGCCCUUACCCAAACUCUUCAGGCAAUGCCUAAGUCCAGAUGCUUGAGUGUAUAUGACACUGUUGAAG
Long non-coding RNA from Salvia splendens (bonfire salvia), 1513 nucleotides. RefSeq lists it as uncharacterized. The transcript is spliced from 10 exons. The record is from RefSeq and is a predicted model, not a curated record. Lineage: Eukaryota; Viridiplantae; Streptophyta; Magnoliopsida; Lamiales; Lamiaceae.